AGUGAACGCUGGCGGUAGGCCUAACACAUGCAAGUCGAACGGCAGCACAGGAGAGCUUGCUCUCUGGGUGGCGAGUGGCGGACGGGUGAGGAAUACAUCGGAAUCUACUCUGUCGUGGGGGAUAACGUAGGGAAACUUACGCUAAUACCGCAUACGACCUACGGGUGAAAGCAGGGGAUCUUCGGACCUUGCGCGAUUGAAUGAGCCGAUGUCGGAUUAGCUAGUUGGCGGGGUAAAGGCCCACCAAGGCGACGAUCCGUAGCUGGUCUGAGGGGAUGAUCAGCCACACUGGAACUGAGACACGGUCCAGACUCCUACGGGAGGCAGCAGUGGGGAAUAUUGGACAAUGGGCGCAAGCCUGAUCCAGCCAUACCGCGUGGGUGAAGAAGGCCUUCGGGUUGUAAAGCCCUUUUGUUGGGAAAGAAGUCCAGCUGGCUAAUACCCGGUUGGGAUGACGGUACCCAAAGAAUAAGCACCGGCUAACUUCGUGCCAGCAGCCGCAGUAA
RNAcentral lists this ribosomal RNA (506 nucleotides) under uncultured bacterium. RNAcentral's name for it is "partial 16S ribosomal RNA". It matches the Rfam family "Bacterial small subunit ribosomal RNA", at positions 29 to 523 of the family's 1533-position model. The record is from RNAcentral.